Long non-coding RNA from Gallus gallus (chicken), 3256 nucleotides. The record is from Ensembl. NCBI's taxonomy places the organism in Eukaryota, Metazoa, Chordata, Aves, Galliformes, Phasianidae.
GCCACAGAGACACUAUCAACAUUUCACUCUUGAGCAUAUUCAAUACCAGACUGCACAUGAUCAAAGAACAUUUCUCCUCUGCUUUCUUGAUGACCUAGAGAUGAAACAGAGGUGUGCAAAGGGGAACAGCUGAAUCAGAUUGGCCAUAAAUGAAAUAGUGACAUGAAAAUUACACCUGAUGAUUUGGGGGUAUUUUAAAGAGCAUUUCAUUUACUUGCAGUGUUUUACACAUUCACUACAAUAAUAAUGUAUGCCUUACUGAAUGCCUUACCGGUGGCAAUAUAAUGAUGAUCUAAAGCAAAUAUGUCACAAAUCUUUUAAAAUACCUCUCUAGGUGAUAGGCAAAUAUAAGCACUUGAUGUUAAACUAAGUGCAAGACCAACGAAUGUGUUCCAGUGGUCAGGCAUUCCCUAAACUGCACUCAAAAUGUGCCCUGUUACUUAUGUAUAAUCUUUUUUUUUCCAUUGUCUGCCUCCUUGACCUUUGGGAAAAUAGCAUAGUAACACUACUACCUUCACUGUAGCUUCACUGUCAUUCUGAUAAUAUAUAAAAGCUAUCACUUAAUCUGUGCAGUGCCUAUAUGUUAUAAUAUUAUGGUCUAAAUGCUUUAGGAGAUCUGAAAGAAUUUCUGGUAACCUUGUCUAAAGCACAGAUUCCCAAAGCAGUAGAGCGCUAUCAUUGCUCACAGUGUCUCCAAGGUCAUCAUGUUUAUCUUCAUAGUUAGCAGCACUGUAAAAGUGGUAUGAAAUCUCAUCAGCUACAAUCUCAUCAGGGCACAGUUAGGACAUAACAACUUCAAUGGUAGAUCUUUUUCUUGUUACUGAACACAGUUCACAUAGCAGACAAAAUAUCUUCCUAUUAUUUUAGUUGGAAAAAAAAAAUGUUUCAUGGCCACUGAAUAUUCAUAGAUUGACUCAAACCUAGGUUAAAUGAGAACAUAUUCAUUCAAUAUAAAGAAUAAAUCAUUUACAUGAACAUUCUAGCUCUAAUGUAAAUGGGUGAAGCUGUGCUGAUGUAGUCUAAGAAGGCUUGAAAUGACUUUUGAUCUUUAUAGGAUAAUCCAAAUCUAGCAUUAAUUUAAGAAUUAUGUAUCUCUAUAUUUUACGUAUGAGAAGUUCAAGUUAAUCUUUCUUCAACGCUUGUUAUAUAGAAGCACCCAUCUCCAGCUGAUGGCUUAUAAAAACACAGCCAAAGUGUGAUGAAAUCUGUAUUUUGCCCAGCCAGAGAAAUUUACUCACAUGCUACUUAGUUGUAAAGAGAAUACACAAUAUUUCCUUUUUUCAUUUUUCACUUCCUGUCAUCCAUCUAACAGUCAGAACACUGGGAGAAAUCUCUGCAAUGAGUCUAGUCAAAAUAGGACAGGUCUAGUUGCAUGGCAAGAUAAAGUUGCGCUGACAGACUACCCUAACUGCAGAGGGUGUUUGAGGCUCCUUACUCUGAUCUAAUGGAAAACAAAUGUGCUUUAGUGAAGACAAGAUUAAUCCUCAAACAUCCCAUACCCCCUUCCAUAGGACACAAUGGGAGUUCUUCAUACAAGGAGAAUGCCCCAAGCUAGGGGUGUGCCUGAAUUUUCCAGGAAUAGAAUGGCGAUGGCAUUCUUCCUCUGGCUGAGUGCAGAGGAGGGCAUUGUAACAGCUUUUGAAGUGAUGAAUGGUGCAUCUAACCAGCUGAAGCAGGCCACCUGCACGCCAUGCUCUGGAAGCCGGGGAAGUACUCAGAAAGGUGUUAAUAACUCCUUGGAUCGACAGUAGCAGAUUGUGCAGCCUUUUGGCAAACGGUGACCUCAAAUAGUGGAUUUGCAUUUACCCUUAAACAAGCACAAGGGCAACUCCAACUUCUGUGUUUGUGUUAUGUGUGCUCAUAGAUGUUGCAUUUUAUAAAAUGCCUUGUUGACUCAUUCCAGAAGUGAGACGGGGGUUUCUUCAUGAUGCAGCUUGAGCUGUGUACAAGCAGAGCAGGAUGAAUUGAAAACAAUAUUCCAAGUAGCCUAAUGCAUUCUUGCUGUUCAAGUUAACUUUCAGUACAAAGCAGGAGGUAAACAAAGGGCUAAAGAAAGGAAAAUACAGAAAGAUCUACAGUCGAGGGAACCUGAAAGGGAUUAACUUGGUCUCCCAGGCAUGAUUCGUUAUGCCGAUCUGAGAGAAUAAGACAACUUAGGGCUGUGGUAGCUGCCGACCUGCUAAGCCCCUUGGAAGUCUGAAUUGGCAAAUAUCACAUCCCAUCCUGAAUGACUUGCUCCAUCUGUGUUUGCUAAUGUCCACAUUGACAGCUGCUUGCCAUUUUGGCAAGAAAGUCAAUGCAAUUUGAGAAUCUGCGCUGGAUGGCUAGUGCAUGCACACACAAAGGCUCACAGACUUUAGACUAACAAAGCCUAUUAGUUAGCCACUCCAGUAAAUAAAGAAGUCCAUGCUUUCCAGUACAUAAACUAAUUCCAAAAUCAUUAGUAGUUCUUGAAUCAAUUCACACAGUGGUGGCUGAACAUGCAUUUACUCAAACAAAGUAGUGUGUAGAACUGAAGACUUCUGUAUGCGUUAACUCCCAGGUAGUCAAAUCAAAUAUAGAAGGCAUAUGUUUCUUUAAAAAACAGAUAUAUCAAUCUAUUUCACUCAUGUUGUACAGACAGCUGUUAAAUAACUGUUUUAAUUUAGCAACUUUAUAAAAAAAUUGAGGAUAAAAAAUCCUCACUUUGAAUGUGUAUCAUUGAAUACAUAUACUGAGCACUGUAAUCAAAAGAAAAGGCAAAGAACAAAUCAAUAAAUAAGGAUAGAAUAAAUAAUUCUUAAUUCUUAAUUGAGAAUUCAUUAAGAAUUAAUAAAGAAUUAAGAGUUCUUUAUUUCAACCUUUUCCACUCUUCCACCUCAGUUGGAGAUGAGCUGCCAAUGAGGAGUACAAUAGCUAGCAACAUUGCUGUACUCUUCUAUGACAUUCAGAAAGACAGAAUACUAUUAAUACUUAACACUUAUAACAUGGAAUCAAAAUGUAAGUCCCUGCCUACUUGUGGUUAUCCCAGACACCUUUAUUCAGAAGUGAGGAUAGAGUCAAAGGAGUUGCAUGGAUAUUAUUUACCAUCUACUAGCAUUUAUUAUAUAUUUUCCUUCGUGUUACUUUAGUUUCACAUAGUUACAGUUUUAUAUAUUAGGCCCAAGUUAUUUUAUGGGAUUUUAAAGAGGUGAAAAUACCUCAUAAAACAACAAAAAACAUCAUUGGUUUCCUUUUGCCUUUAGGUACAUGCACUGAAACCAGCCAAAGGCCUCAG